Molecule: ribosomal RNA, 310 nt
Filed under: Burkholderia pyrrocinia
Lineage: Bacteria; Pseudomonadati; Pseudomonadota; Betaproteobacteria; Burkholderiales; Burkholderiaceae
Description: bacterial SSU rRNA
Rfam family: Bacterial small subunit ribosomal RNA
Source: RNAcentral
CCCGGCGAAAGCCGGAUUAAUACCGCAUACGAUCUACGGAUGAAAGCGGGGGACCUUCGGGCCUCGCGCUAUAGGGUUGGCCGAUGGCUGAUUAGCUAGUUGGUGGGGUAAAGGCCUACCAAGGCCACGAUCAAUACCUGGUCUGAGAGGACGACCAGCCACACUGGGACUGAGACACGGCCCAGACUCCUACGGGGAGGCAGCAGUGGGGAAUUUUGGAUAAUGGGCGAAAGCCUGAUCCANCAAUGCCCCGUGUGUGAAGAAGGCCUUCGGGUUGUAAAGCACUUUUGUCCGGAAAGAAAUCCUUGGU